This 253-nucleotide ribosomal RNA is filed under the name uncultured bacterium. RNAcentral's name for it is "partial 16S ribosomal RNA". It matches the Rfam family "Bacterial small subunit ribosomal RNA", at positions 524 to 776 of the family's 1533-position model. The record is from RNAcentral.
UACGUAGGGAGCAAGCGUUGUCCGGAAUCAUUGGGCGUAAAGCGCGCGUAGGCGGCUUUGCAAGUCGGGUGUGAAAUCCCCAGGCUUAACCUGGGAACUGCAUUCGAGACUGCAUUGCUAGAGUAUGGGAGAGGGAAGUGGAAUUUCCGGUGUAGCGGUGAAAUGCGUAGAUAUCGGAAGGAACAUCAGUGGCGAAAGCGACUUCCUGGACCAAUACUGACGCUCAUGUGCGAAAGCGUGGGGAGCAAACAGG